GGAUGAACGCUAGCGGCAGGCUUAACACAUGCAAGUCGAGGGGUAACAUUGUAGCUUGCUACAGAUGACGACCGGCGCACGGGUGCGUAACGCGUAUAGAACCUACCUUUUACAGAGGGAUAGCCUUUAGAAAUGAAGAUUAAUACCUUAUAGUAUUGAGACUUGGCAUCAAGUUUUAAUUAAAGAUUUAUCGGUAAAAGAUGGCUAUGCGUCCUAUUAGUUAGUUGGUAAGGUAACGGCUUACCAAGACAUCGAUAGGUAGGGGUCCUGAGAGGGAGAUCCCCCACACUGGUACUGAGACACGGACCAGACUCCUACGGGAGGCAGCAGUGAGGAAUAUUGGACAAUGGAGGCAACUCUGAUCCAGCCAUGCCGCGUGUAGGAAGAAUGCCCUAUGGGUUGUAAACUACUUUUAUACAGGAAGAAACACUGGUAUGUAUACCAGCUUGACGGUACUGUAAGAAUAAGGACCGGCUAACUCCGUGCCAGCAGCCGCGGUAAUACGGAGGGUCCGAGCGUUAUCCGGAAUCAUUGGGUUUAAAGGGUCCGCAGGCGGUCUAUUAAGUCAGAGGUGAAAUCCCAUAGCUCAACUAUGGAACUGCCUUUGAUACUGGUUGACUUGAGUCAUAUGGAAGUGGAUAGAAUGUGUAGUGUAGCGGUGAAAUGCAUAGAUAUUACACAGAAUACCGAUUGCGAAGGCAGUCCACUACGUAUGUACUGACGCUGAGGGACGAAAGCGUGGGGAGCGAACAGGAUUAGAUACCCUGGUAGUCCACGCCGUAAACGAUGGAUACUAGUUGUUGGGAUUUAUCUCAGUGACUAAGCGAAAGUGAUAAGUAUCCCACCUGGGGAGUACGGUCGCAAGACUGAAACUCAAAUGAAUUGACGGGGACCCGCACAAGUAGUGGAGCAUGUGGUUUAAUUCGAAGAUACGCGCAGAACCUUACCAACACUUGACAUGUUCGUCGCGACUCUAAGAGAUUAGAGUUUUCGGUUCGGCCGGACGAAACACAGGUGCUGCAUGGCUGUCGUCAGCUCGUGUCGUGAGAUGUUGGGUUAAGUCCCGCAACGAGCGCAACCCUCACUUUUAGUUGCCAUCAUUAAGUUGGGCACUCUGAAAGAACUGCCAGUGAUAAGCUGGAGGAAGGUGGGGAUGACGUCAAGUCCUCAUGGCCCUUACGUGUUGGGCUACACACGUGCUACAAUGGCAUCUACAACAGGAAGCAAAACGGCAACGUUAAGCAAAUCCCGAAAAGAUGCCUCAGUUCGGAUUGCACUCUGCAACUCGAGUGCAUGAAGCUGGAAUUACUAGUAAUCGUGGAUCAGCGUGCCACGGUGAAUGCGUUCCCGGGUCUUGUACACACCGC
RNAcentral lists this ribosomal RNA (1367 nucleotides) under uncultured marine bacterium. RNAcentral's name for it is "partial 16S ribosomal RNA". It matches the Rfam family "Bacterial small subunit ribosomal RNA", at positions 27 to 1393 of the family's 1533-position model. The record is from RNAcentral.